CAAGCAAAUUAGACGGUCGCGUGUAUUUUUUUUCACAUGAGGAAAGUCCGAGCUUCGUAGAGUAGCGUGCCAGUUAACGACUGGUGGAGGUAACUUCAAGGCUAGUGCAACAGAAAUAAACAGCUUUUUUAUUUAUCAAAAAUUAGAUUAUAUCUAACUAUAUUUAAAAAAUAUUUAAAAAUAAAAAAGCAAUGGUGGAAAGGCGAGGUAAGAGCUCACCGACAAUAUGGCAACAUUUUGUGCUAUGUAAACCCCACGCGAAGCAAGAUAAUAAAGCGCAAAAAGUUACUCGCUUUGCUUUUAAGAGAUCGCAUAAAUAAUUCGGCAACGAUUUAUUAAGAUAGAUGACCGUCCUUGACAGAACUCGGCUUACCGAUUUGCUUGUUUU
This 388-nucleotide RNase P RNA is filed under the name Clostridiales bacterium. Its description in RNAcentral is "RNase P RNA component class A". It matches the Rfam family "Bacterial RNase P class A". From Rfam's summary of the family: Ribonuclease P (RNase P) is a ubiquitous endoribonuclease, found in archaea, bacteria and eukarya as well as chloroplasts and mitochondria. Its best characterised activity is the generation of mature 5'-ends of tRNAs by cleaving the 5'-leader elements of precursor-tRNAs. Cellular RNase Ps are ribonucleoproteins. Lineage: Bacteria; Bacillati; Bacillota; Clostridia; Eubacteriales. The record is from RNAcentral.